UUUUGUUUACAGCAGAGAUGGUAGCUAUCCUUAUGGCAUUAGAGUGGGUAUAUGAAGUAAGACCGGAUAAAGUAAUAAUAUGCUCUGACUCAAUGGCAGCUCUUAUGAGUUUACAAUCAUGGCAAUCAAAUAGAAAAGACAUUUUAAUAGAAAUCAUGAUUACACUAUAUAGUAUUAAACAGAUAGGGAUAAUUACUCGGUUUAUAUGGGUACCUGCACAUGUGGGGAUUCAAGGUAAUGAAGAGGUAGAUAAAAUGGCUAAAGAAUCCUUAAAUAUGGAUGAUCCAAGUAUAAAUAUUGCACUCAGCAGAAUAGAAGGGAAACAGUUAAUAUUAAAUGCAUGCAAUAUUGUAUGGCAGAUAUACUGGGACUCAUGUCAAACAGGUAGGCAUUAUCGCAAAGUAAGUAUAAAGAGAAGAAAAAUCAUUCAUAACAUAAGUAGAAGGGAACAAGUCAUUUUAACACAUAUACGAACAGGACACUCAAAUCUUAACCAAACACUAUACAUUAUAGGGAAACAUAAUACUGGUCUAUGUAAUGUUUGUUUAACAGAGGAAUCAGUGGAACACGUUAUGAUGGUAUGUACAGCAUAUGAAAGAGAAAGAGAUCGACUUAAAGAUGAAUUACAAUCCUUAGGAGUUAAAGAAUUUUCAUUAAGUAGUAUCCUGAAUGAUGGUCCAAAUGCAGGAAAACAAAUAAGUGCAAUCAUGAGAUUUCUUAAGAAUUGUGGAAUAAUGAACAGAAUUUAAGAUUUAGGUGAGUACAUUCUCUUCACACUCCAUCACAGUAGGUGGCGGUAUGCACCUAUGAAGUUGGUUCGCAACCCGCCAUAAAACCAAAAGAAGAAGAAUAAGAAGAGAUUUCUCUCUUUCAAUCGGACUGGGGACAAAAUGGUGAGUGAUCGACUCCCCUUCACGAUCCAACCUAGAUCAGAGUCAUCCAUCCGUUUUUGAACACAUGCUAUUCCGUAUAUUGUGCAUAAAAGGUAAGCGAAUGAUUUGCUGUGGUUAUGGAGUGUAACUUAACCGCAGCGCCUGAGUAUUUUGCACGUGGUAAGUGAUCGACCGUAGGGG
RNAcentral lists this long non-coding RNA (1073 nucleotides) under Sinocyclocheilus anshuiensis. RNAcentral describes it as "lncRNA (ENSSANG00000003891.1)". Lineage: Eukaryota; Metazoa; Chordata; Actinopteri; Cypriniformes; Cyprinidae. The record is from RNAcentral.